RNAcentral lists this ribosomal RNA (440 nucleotides) under uncultured bacterium. RNAcentral describes it as "partial 16S ribosomal RNA". It matches the Rfam family "Bacterial small subunit ribosomal RNA", at positions 338 to 795 of the family's 1533-position model. The record is from RNAcentral.
CCUACGGGAGGCAGCAGUAGGGAAUAUUGCUCAAUGGGGGAAACCCUGAAGCAGCAAAGCCGCGUGGAGGAUGAAGGUUUUAGGAUUGUAAACUCCUUUUGUUAGAGAAGAUAAUGACGGUAUCUAACGAAUAAGCACUGGCUAACUCCGUGACAGAAGCCGCGGUAAUGCGGAGGGUGCAAGCGUUAUUCGGAAUCACUGGGCGUAAAGCGUGAGUAGGCGGGUUAGCAAGUCAGAUGUGAAAUCCUAUGGCUUAACCAUAGAACGGCAUUUGAAACUGUUCUACUAGAGUAUAGGAGAGGUAGGUGGAAUUCGGGGUGUAGGGGUGAAAUGCGUAGAGAUCAAGAAGAAUACGCAUUGCGAAGGCGACCUACUAGAACAUAACUGACGCUGAUGCGCGAAAGCGUGGGGAGCAAACAGGAUUAGAUACCCUUGUAGUC